AGUGAACGCUGGCGGUAGGCCUAACACAUGCAAGUCGAACGGCAGCACAGUAAGAGCUUGCUCUUUCGGGUGGCGAGUGGCGGACGGGUGAGGAAUACAUCGGAAUCUACUUUUUCGUGGGGGAGAACGUAGGGAAACUUACGCUAAUACUGCAUACGACCUACGGGUGAAAGCAUGGGAUCUUCGGACCUUGCGCGAUCGAAUGAGCCGAUGUCGGAUUAGCUAGUUGGCGGGGUAAAGGCCCACCAAGGCGACGAUCCGUAGCUGGUCUGAGAGGAUGAUCAGCCACACUGGAACUGAGACACGGUCCAGACUCCUACGGGAGGCAGCAGUGGGGAAUAUUGGACAAUGGGCGCAAGCCUGAUCCAGCCAUACCGCGUGGGUGAAGAAGGCCUUCGGGUUGUAAAGCCCUUUUGUUGGGAAAGAAAAGCAGCAGGUUAAUACCCCGCUGUUCUGACGGUACCCAAAGAAUAAGCACCGGCUAACUUCGUG
This 492-nucleotide ribosomal RNA is filed under the name uncultured bacterium. Its description in RNAcentral is "partial 16S ribosomal RNA". It matches the Rfam family "Bacterial small subunit ribosomal RNA", at positions 29 to 507 of the family's 1533-position model. The record is from RNAcentral.